This 253-nucleotide ribosomal RNA is filed under the name uncultured bacterium. RNAcentral describes it as "partial 16S ribosomal RNA". It matches the Rfam family "Bacterial small subunit ribosomal RNA", at positions 524 to 776 of the family's 1533-position model. The record is from RNAcentral.
UACAGAGGGUGCGAGCGUUGUCCGGAAUCACUGGGCGUAAAGGGCGCGUAGGCGGCCUGAUAAGUAGGGGGUGAAAUCCUGUGGCUUAACUGCAGGGCUGCCUCCUAGACUGUUAGGCUCGAGCACGGUAGAGGCAGAUGGAAUUCCCGGUGUAGCGGUGGAAUGCGUAGAGAUCGGGAAGAACAUCGGUGGCGAAGGCGGUCUGCUGGGCCGUUGCUGACGCUGAGGCGCGACAGCGUGGGGAGCAAACCGG